GAUGAACGCUGGCGGCGUGCCUAAUACAUGCAAGUCGAGCGAACAGACGAGGAGCUUGCUCCUCUGACGUUAGCGGCGGACGGGUGAGUAACACGUGGAUAACCUACCUAUAAGACUGGGAUAACUUCGGGAAACCGGAGCUAAUACCGGAUAAUAUAUUGAACCGCAUGGUUCAAUAGUGAAAGACGGUUUUGCUGUCACUUAUAGAUGGAUCCGCGCCGCAUUAGCUAGUUGGUAAGGUAACGGCUUACCAAGGCAACGAUGCGUAGCCGACCUGAGAGGGUGAUCGGCAACACUGGACCUGAGACACGGUCCAGACUCCUACGGGAGGCAGCAGUAGGGAAUCUUCCGCAAUGGGCGAAAGCUUGACGGAGCAACGCCGCGUGAGUGAUGAAGGUCUUCGGAUCGUAAAACUCUGUUAUUAGGGAAGAACAAAUGUGUAAGUAACUAUGCACGUCUUGACGGUACCUAAUCAGAAAGCCACGGCUAACUACGU
This 496-nucleotide ribosomal RNA is filed under the name uncultured bacterium. Its description in RNAcentral is "partial 16S ribosomal RNA". It matches the Rfam family "Bacterial small subunit ribosomal RNA", at positions 28 to 506 of the family's 1533-position model. The record is from RNAcentral.